UACGUAGGGGGCGAGCGUUGUCCGGAUUUAUUGGGCGUAAAGAGCUCGUAGGCGGUUUGUCGCGUCUGCUGUGAAAACUGGAGGCUCAACCUCCAGCCUGCAGUGGGUACGGGCAGACUAGAGUGCGGUAGGGGAGAUUGGAAUUCCUGGUGUAGCGGUGGAAUGCGCAGAUAUCAGGAGGAACACCGAUGGCGAAGGCAGAUCUCUGGGCCGUAACUGACGCUGAGGAGCGAAAGCGUGGGGAGCGAACAGG
This 253-nucleotide ribosomal RNA is filed under the name uncultured bacterium. Its description in RNAcentral is "partial 16S ribosomal RNA". It matches the Rfam family "Bacterial small subunit ribosomal RNA", at positions 524 to 776 of the family's 1533-position model. The record is from RNAcentral.